UNCUUAAAGCGGGGAACCUUGGACAAGU
RNAcentral lists this non-coding RNA (28 nucleotides) under Rattus norvegicus (Norway rat). Lineage: Eukaryota; Metazoa; Chordata; Mammalia; Rodentia; Muridae. The record is from RNAcentral.